GAUGAACGCUGGCGGCGUGCCUAAUACAUGCAAGUCGAGCGAACAGACGAGGAGCUUGCUCCUCUGACGUUGGCGGCGGACGGGUGAGUAACACGUGGAUAACCUACCUAUAAGACUGGGAUAACUUCGGGAAACCGGAGCUAAUACCGGAUAAUAUAUUGAACCGCAUGGUUCAUUAGUGAAAGACGGUUUUGCUGUCACUUAUAGAUGGAUCCGCGCCGCAUUAGCUAGUUGGUACGGUAACGGCUUACCAAGGCAACGAUGCGUAGCCGACCUGAGAGGGUGAUCGGCCACACUGGAACUGAGACACGGUCCAGACUCCUACGGGAGGCAGCAGUAGGGAAUCUUCCGCAAUGGGCGAAAGCCUGACGGAGCAACGCCGCGUGAGUGAUGAAGGUCUUCGGAUCGUAAAACUCUGUUAUUAGGGAAGAACAAAUGUGUAAGUAACUAUGCACGUCUUGACGGUACCUAAUCAGAAAGCCACGGCUAACUACGUG
This 497-nucleotide ribosomal RNA is filed under the name uncultured bacterium. RNAcentral describes it as "partial 16S ribosomal RNA". It matches the Rfam family "Bacterial small subunit ribosomal RNA", at positions 28 to 507 of the family's 1533-position model. The record is from RNAcentral.